UACGUAGGGGGCAAGCGUUAUCCGGAUUUACUGGGUGUAAAGGGAGCGUAGACGGCAGAGCAAGUCUGAAGUGAAAGCCCGCGGCCCAACUGCGGGACUGCUUUGGAAACUGCCCGGCUGGAGUGCUGGAGAGGUAAGCGGAAUUCCUAGUGUAGCGGUGAAAUGCGUAGAUAUUAGGAGGAACACCAGUGGCGAAGGCGGCUUACUGGACAGUAACUGACGUUGAGGCUCGAAAGCGUGGGGAGCAAACAGG
Molecule: ribosomal RNA, 253 nt
Filed under: uncultured bacterium
Lineage: Bacteria
Description: partial 16S ribosomal RNA
Rfam family: Bacterial small subunit ribosomal RNA
Source: RNAcentral